CAGCCGCCGCGGUAAUACGUAGGUCCCGAGCGUUGUCCGGAUUUAUUGGGCGUAAAGGGAGCGCAGGCGGUCAGGAAAGUCUGGAGUAAAAGGCUAUGGCUCAACCAUAGUGUGCUCUGGAAACUGUCUGACUUGAGUGCAGAAGGGGAGAGUGGAAUUCCAUGUGUAGCGGUGAAAUGCGUAGAUAUAUGGAGGAACACCAGUGGCGAAAGCGGCUCUCUGGUCUGUCACUGACGCUGAGGCUCGAAAGCGUGGGUAGCGAACAGGAUUAGAUACCCCGGUAGUCCCUGUCUCUUAUACA
This 301-nucleotide ribosomal RNA is filed under the name uncultured bacterium. RNAcentral's name for it is "partial 16S ribosomal RNA". It matches the Rfam family "Bacterial small subunit ribosomal RNA", at positions 509 to 808 of the family's 1533-position model. The record is from RNAcentral.